Molecule: ribosomal RNA, 253 nt
Filed under: uncultured bacterium
Lineage: Bacteria
Description: partial 16S ribosomal RNA
Rfam family: Bacterial small subunit ribosomal RNA
Source: RNAcentral
UACGUAGGGUGCGAGCGUUAAUCGGAAUUACUGGGCGUAAAGCGUGCGCAGGCGGUUCGUUGUGUCUGAUGUGAAAGCCCCGGGCUCAACCUGGGAAUGGCAUUGGAAACUGGCGAGCUAGAGUGUGGCAGAGGGGGGUGGAAUUCCGCGUGUAGCAGUGAAAUGCGUAGAGAUGCGGAGGAACACCGAUGGCGAAGGCAGCCCCCUGGGCUGACACUGACGCCCAGGCACGAAAGCGUGGGGAGCAAACAGG